Macaca mulatta (Rhesus monkey) is the source of this 1634-nucleotide long non-coding RNA. Lineage: Eukaryota; Metazoa; Chordata; Mammalia; Primates; Cercopithecidae. The record is from Ensembl.
GUAUACGUGAACCAAUUUUUAACCCACAGGUUCUUCAUUAAUUUAGACAACUUAAGGGUACCCUGAGGAGAUGAGAUCAGGACCUUCAGAUUAUGAGACUCACGCCCUGCCAGCUGUGCUAAGAGGGCUCCUGAGGAGAUGAGAUGAAACAUAGAUGCCAUCAGCUGAACAACUCAAUUGGAUUUGUUCUGAAAUCAAACCCGGUUUUGUGUUUGCUGCUACAAAUGAUCCAAAGCAGAAUAUGUUAUUCUAUAAAUGCAAGAAAAUAUGACCAAGAUAUUCAAAUAAUGACUAAUAUUCUUGCAUAACCACUCAAGUGAGAGAAAAACUGACUCCAGUAGAAAAGCAGCCAUGACAACCUCAUAAAUAAUAGGCACUGCUUUGAGAUCUUUUGGGUAAAUAGAAGAUGAACUUGCUCUCAGAAAACAAAUGGCACAAAGAAAUAAGUGUUAAACACAGCAAGGACUCAGAGAACACCUAGAAACAUCACCAUUGAGAUCCUUUUAUUUAUUAUUUGUCUCUGAUUAUAGAUAACUUCUCAAUCUGUUACCCAGGCUGGAGUGCAGUGGUGUGAUCAUUGCUCACUGUAGCCUCAAAUUCCUGAACUCAAGUGAUCUUCUCACAUCAGCCUCCUGAGUAGCUGGGACUACAGGUGCGUGCCAUCAUGCUUGGGUAAUUAAAUUUUUUUUUGUUUGUUUUUGGUAGAGACGAGGUCUCAUUAUGUUGACCAGGCUGGUCUCACACUCCCGGCCUCAAGCAAUCCUCUUGCCUCAUCCUUCCAAAAUACUGGGAUUACAGGCAUGAACCACUGCGUCUGGCAUCAUUGAGAUCUUUAUGGGAGAGUUUUAGGGAUACAAUUCAGUAGAAAGCAUCUGAACAUUAAAAAAGUCCUUGAUAUAUAUUCUUGGUGUGGCUCUCCAAACUAGUUUUAUUCCUGUGAUCUACCAAAACUCAUCAAAAUGUUAUGAGAAUGCUAAUUUCUCCAUAAUGUCACUAGCUGGGUAUUAAAAUUUUAAAAAUCUUUGCAGCCACAGGUGUUUAAAAAACCCCAAUUGGAGGAGAUACACCUCUUUUCAUUAACUGGUGCCCUGAGUUGCUGGCCAUCAUUACGAGAGCAUGAAAUUGUACAGAGAGGGCCUAGGAAAAUUGUCCUAAUCUGUGCUAUUUUAUGGAAGUCAACAGCUAAUCCUUUGGAAUCAGGGCUUUCCAUAGAGGAUAGGUUCAUUUAAAUAAGUGUUAUAGUUAGGAAUCUAUGACUGUGGAACAAUUUGUGAUAAUUUGAACUUUUGAAUAACCAACCACAGUAUAAUGUUUGAAAAGCUGUAAAAAAGACUUCAUCACAACUCACAAUUGAAGAUGGAGACUUUUAUAAUUCUGCCUCAAAGUGUUCCAUUUUAAACAUCCUAUAGGUAAAUAGAAGUAAAUGGCAUGUAUUUAAAUUGGAUUUGUUCUCAAACCUGUUUCAACUUGAGCAAUUGCUGCAAUAAGAUUUCCUUUAAUAUCUUCGUUUAACUGCUAUUGGUUAAAAAAAAACCCUAACUGAAGCUAUUUCUGAAAUUGAAGAUUGAACAUAAUUGAUAUUAAGUACCAUUAAGCUCAUUAUUGGUCUUGUAAAGAUAUCUCUAUAUUCUCUG